CGUGUAGUUAACCUAAAUAUUCUCUUGUAUAUAUAUCAAGGUGUAAUCGUAUGAAAUCAAUAAGAGAAAACGUUCAUCUAACCUAGCCGCUUCUAGUUUCUACAGUCAAUUUCAGAGCUCUAGAGAUAAUCUUCAUCUUCAUUGAACUUUAACCUCAAAAAUUUUCCUAAAUAAAUUGAAAGCAGUUUUCAACCUCAGGCUUCAUUAGAAAACAAGCCAAAAGUCGGAGAUAGAGGCACGCCAAAAACAGAGCUAGGCAAAGCUACUGAAGAAGCUGGCAAUGCCGGAAGAGAGCCGGCCAAUGCCACUACGGAAGCUAAUCGAUGCCGAAAGAGAAGGCGUCGCUAAAGAAAUAGAGCGAUGUCGGAAAAGUGAGGAUUUCUCUCUCUCAAAAGUUGAGAGCGAGAAUAUUUUUUCCAACCAAUAAGCACAAAACAAAGUUCGCCUAGAGGAAAAUAACCCUAAAAGUCGAACCGAAUGAUUUCACCUAAUUUUGAAUUUUCGGGUAAGUCCGGUUCAAAUUCAAUUUCGGAAAUAAAAUUAUUAACCGGAUACACUUACAAAUUCGGAUCCUACAAAUUCUUGAACUUUUAUCACUUAUGCCACUUUUUUGAAAAAACUGAUCUGGACUGCCAUCAGUUAAUCUGAAUGCUACCGAAAAUGUGAUAUACCAGUUGUACCCUUAAUGAGUUGAUUAAAAAAAUGAAAAAGAAAUUCAAAAGCUAAAUAAAGAAAAUCGAGAUCCUCAGUUCUCUCUCCUUCGUCGUCGUGUUCUUCUUCUUUCGCCGACGUUCAUCUUCUUCGUCGGCCACCAUCGAUUCUGGCCGCCGCCGACUUGAAAUCCGUCGUAAAAGGCAACGAAUUAGGUCAGUUUCUUCUCAUAUUUCCUUUGACAUUGGUGCAUUGUGAUUUUAGAUUGGGAUUUUGAAUUAUAUAUAAUUCCCAAAUUCAAUUUGAUAGUUUGAUGAUUGGUUUGCAAAGUAAAGAGUAAUCGAUUAGAGGUUGCCGAAACGUUAUUUGAGGUGAUGAGCAAAGAAAUGUAGGUUGAAUGUGAGUUGAAUUUGAAUUCCGAGAUUUCAUAUUAAAGAUUUGGGGGUUUGUGUUUGCAAAGUUUAGAUUAACCAAUUAGUUUAACGAAUAGGUAUGUAUUAACAUUGGAAAUCAAUUGAAAGGUAACGAAUUAGGUUCAGUAGAAUCGAGUGCGACGAGAGAUUGAUUUCAACGUAUGAUAAGAGUACAUGUGGUAUAACUAUUAAAAUGUUUGAUUGGAGUUGAACUGGUUGUAUUUUGAGGAGCGAUGAAGAAGAAGAUCCACACUAAGGUACAUUUUGAUUUGGAGGAUACUAUUUUGAAGUGAAUGAGUGGAUUGGUAAAAAUUCACUAUAUGCUAUAUCGUUUAAGACGAGUAGUUUGGAGAAGAUAACAUAUUCGAUGUUAGUUGACAAGAUCAUGAAGAAGGUUGCCAUUGAUGAAGCUUUUGUGAAGUUGAAACUGAGUUACAAUCUGUCUAAAGUUAGGAGAGAGACAUAUAUUGUAGAUGAUGAGGAUGUCUUCAUAUUUUUAACAGAAUCUGAUGAAGAGAGUCGGAUUUUGCAUGUGGAGGAAUUAAAUGGUAUAGGAGUUGAGAGGAGAGAGGAAAUUUCUGUACCGGAGCGUCGAAGUUCAGUUGGUGUAAAUGUAAGAGAGGAUGAUGUUUUAAAUGAAGUAUGUGAGAUGGUGCAUGAGGGAUAUGAUAAUGAUGUGAAUGAUUGUGAGAAUGUAGUAGGUACGGAGAUCGUGGCUGUCGAAAGGCCGAUGGAAAGGCCGGUGAAUUCUGUUGAGGAAGAAGAUGAGGAUGAUAGGAUUGAUUAUGAUGAUAUUCACGAUAUUCCACGAAGUGUAGAAGUUACUCCGCAGGUUAUAGAAUGGGAUGAUGGUACGGGUAUUGAAAUUGGUCAAGAAUUUUGUUCAAGGGAGGCUGUGUGGGAAUUGGUUAACAGAGCUGCAAAGCAAGAAGUUUUUGGAGUCUAUACUAUUAAGUCAGACCCGUUGAGACUUAUGCUACGAUGCCGCCAAGCUUCUAAAGGGUGUACUUGGUAUCUAAGAGUUGCGAGAACUAAGAAAUCUCAUUUUUGGAGUGUUAGAGUGCAUAGAAAGAUGCAUACAUGCUCUCGGAGUGUUGAGACUACAAGCAACAGUAUACAGCGAGGCACACCAAGAUUAAUAGCAUCGGUUUUGCAUUGUGACUAUCCCAGAAAUUUAAAGACCCCAACUCCAAAAAACAUUAUGUCGAUUGUAAGAGGAAGACUUGGGGUGCAUUGUUCAUACUCCACUGCCUUAAGAGGCAAAAUGCUACAUGUUAGUGAUGUGCGAGGGACUCCGGAAAGAAGCUACACGAUGUUAUUUUCUUAUCU
Molecule: small RNA, 2393 nt
Filed under: Arabidopsis thaliana (thale cress)
Lineage: Eukaryota; Viridiplantae; Streptophyta; Magnoliopsida; Brassicales; Brassicaceae
Description: ATSL281520
Source: RNAcentral